Molecule: ribosomal RNA, 253 nt
Filed under: uncultured prokaryote
Description: partial 16S ribosomal RNA
Rfam family: Bacterial small subunit ribosomal RNA
Source: RNAcentral
UACGGGGGGAGCAAACGUUGUUCGGAAUCACUGGGCUUAAAGGGCGCGUAGGCGGCCGAUCAAGUCGGGGGUGAAAUCCUGCAGCUCAACUGCAGAAGUGCCUUCGAUACUGAUCGGCUCGAGGGAGGUAGGGGUGUGUGGAACUUCUGGUGGAGCGGUGAAAUGCGUUGAUAUCAGAAGGAACGCCGGUGGCGAAAGCGACGCACUGGACCUCAUCUGACGCUGAGGCGCGAAAGCCAGGGGAGCAAACGGG